Molecule: long non-coding RNA, 197 nt
Organism: Homo sapiens (human)
Lineage: Eukaryota; Metazoa; Chordata; Mammalia; Primates; Hominidae
Exons: 3
Source: RefSeq, a predicted model, not a curated record
CUAGCUGGGAUUACAGGCACCAGCCACCACACCCAGAUUCCUGAUGACAACAAAUAUACACUGGAACCCCCAAGGGCUUUGCAGGUUCACUGAUUUCCAGAUAUUUCUCUUGGGAUUCUGCUAUAGGACCUGAAGUUAUCUGCUUGCUGAGGCAUGAAGAAAUAAAUAAAAUAAUAGGAAAAUAUGAAAAAGUAAAA